GACGAACGCUGGCGGCGUGCUUAACACAUGCAAGUCGAACGCUGAAGCUCAGCUUUUGUUGGGUGGAUGAGUGGCGAACGGGUGAGUAACACGUGAGUAACCUGCCCCCUUCUUUGGGAUAACGCCCGGAAACGGGUGCUAAUACUGGAUAUUCACUGGUCUUCGCAUGGGGGUUGGUGGAAAGGGUUUUUCUGGUGGGGGAUGGGCUCGCGGCCUAUCAGCUUGUUGGUGGGGUGAUGGCCUACCAAGGCUUUGACGGGUAGCCGGCCUGAGAGGGUGACCGGUCACAUUGGGACUGAGAUACGGCCCAGACUCCUACGGGAGGCAGCAGUGGGGAAUAUUGCACAACGGGCGCAAGCCUGAUGCAGCGACGCCGCGUGAGGGAUGGAGGCCUUCGGGUUGUGAACCUCUUUCGCUCAUGGUCAAGCCGCAACAAUGGUUGUGGUGAGGGUAGUGGGUAAAGAAGCGCCGGCUAACUACGUG
RNAcentral lists this ribosomal RNA (483 nucleotides) under uncultured bacterium. RNAcentral's name for it is "partial 16S ribosomal RNA". It matches the Rfam family "Bacterial small subunit ribosomal RNA", at positions 28 to 507 of the family's 1533-position model. The record is from RNAcentral.